GCAGGCCGGUCCCGGAAAUGGAAGCGUUUGCCGUACAAGAUGGCUGCUUCCUUUGUGGUGGUAUAACUUCAUUUGGAGACAGCAUUAAAAUGGUAAAUGUAGCACCUGUUUGUGAUGAGACCAGGCUAAUUUUCUUCCUGAGUCCCUGUAACAGGUGUUCUUUUGGCAAGAUAGCCUGUUCCCAGCUUUAAAGGAGUUCCAACAAGAUACAGAAAGCUCAUUACACAGAGACGUUGAUCACUGUGAAACAUCAGAAGUAACCUAACAAUAAAUCAACAUAGGAGGGGUUAAAGAAAUAAUGAUUCAUUCGUUCAAAGGAAAAUUGCAGCCAUUAAUAUAAUGACAAUUAUGUGUCAAUGCUUUGAAGUUAUGCUAAAUCAAGAAAUCUUAUAAAAUAGUACUUGGAUUGGGAAUCCAACUAUGUCAAGAAGCAUGUACACAAAAAGAGCAAAAACAGCCUAAUCACCUACUGUGUGCUAGACCUUCUACUGAGUCUUAAGGAUACACAAAUGAAUAAAAUGUGGUCCUGAUACAGCUCUCUGUUAUGAUACAUGCACCAAGUCAUGUGCAGUUAAGUGUUUAACAGCCGCCUAUCAGUUGAGGGUGGGGGAAAACAUUUUGUAUUUUUGCCAGUUUCUGUAGUGUACGCAUUUCCACCAUGGCUGG
This is a non-coding RNA of Ceratotherium simum simum (southern white rhinoceros), 666 nucleotides long. Lineage: Eukaryota; Metazoa; Chordata; Mammalia; Perissodactyla; Rhinocerotidae. The record is from RefSeq and is a predicted model, not a curated record.